This 406-nucleotide ribosomal RNA is filed under the name uncultured bacterium. Its description in RNAcentral is "partial 16S ribosomal RNA". It matches the Rfam family "Bacterial small subunit ribosomal RNA", at positions 30 to 526 of the family's 1533-position model. The record is from RNAcentral.
AUUGAACGCUGGCGGCAGGCCUAACACAUGCAAGUCGAACGAGUGGCGGACGGGUGAGUAAUGUCUGGGAAACUGCCUGAUGGAGGGGGAUAACGUCCGGAAACGGGCGCUAAUACCGCAUACUAUCAGAUGAGCCUAGGUCGGAUUAGCUUGUUGGUGGGGUAAAGGCUUACCAAGGCGACGAUCCCUAACUGGUCUGAGAGGAUGAUCAGGCACACUGGAAAGGAGACACGGUCAAGACUCCUACGGUAGGCAGCAGUGGGGAAUAUUGCACAAUGGGCGCAAGCCGGAUGCAGCCAUGCCGCGUGUAUGAAGAAGGCCUUCGGGUUGUAAAGUACUUUCAGCGGGGAGGCGUUACCCGCAGAAGAAGCACCGGCUAACUCCGUGCCAGCAGCCGCGGUAAUAC